CCUACGGGGGGCUGCAGUGGGGAAUAUUGGACAAUGGGCGGAAGCCUGAUCCAGCCAUGCCGCGUGUGUGAAGAAGGCCUUAUGGUUGUAAAGCACUUUAAGUGGGGAGGAGGCUCUCUUGGUUAAUACCUAAGAAGAGUGGACGUUACCCACAGAAUAAGCACCGGCUAACUCUGUGCCAGCAGCCGCGGUAAUACAGAGGGUGCGAGCGUUAAUCGGAUUUACUGGGCGUAAAGCGUGCGUAGGCGGCUGAUUAAGUCGGAUGUGAAAUCCCU
Molecule: ribosomal RNA, 275 nt
Filed under: uncultured Acinetobacter sp.
Lineage: Bacteria; Pseudomonadati; Pseudomonadota; Gammaproteobacteria; Moraxellales; Moraxellaceae
Description: partial 16S ribosomal RNA
Rfam family: Bacterial small subunit ribosomal RNA
Source: RNAcentral